This is a long non-coding RNA of Triticum dicoccoides, 697 nucleotides long. RefSeq lists it as uncharacterized. The transcript has 3 exons. The record is from RefSeq and is a predicted model, not a curated record. NCBI's taxonomy places the organism in Eukaryota, Viridiplantae, Streptophyta, Magnoliopsida, Poales, Poaceae.
CACCCGUUGUAUGAGAAGCACCCGUUGUACUAAUCUUUGUAUGAGAAGCACCCGUUGUACAAAUUUUUAAAUGCAUUGGUACAACGGGAACUCCAUUUUCUUACAAGAGAUGUGAUCCCGUCGUUGUUGGUUGUCGAAUUCCUGCUGCACUCCAUGCCCACCACGUCCGUGUCUUCGCCCCUUCGUCAUCCAACACAAACAGCAGAACGGAGCAGUAGCCGUGAUUUGCCAGGUCGGAGAACUGACGCAGUUUGCUGCCAUGGAGUGCUCGCCCUUCUUGUGUGCCAUAAAGCCCCUCGAUCGAAGCUCCGACUCAAUUGCAAAUCAAAAUUGCCGACCGUGUCAAUCUCGCCGGAACAACGUCUAGCUCGUCGUGCUCCACUCAAUAUCCGUGCGUCACAACAUGCAUGCAAAUCAAACGAAGGAGUGUGGACAAAGUUAUAUAUCAAGCAAAUCAGAUGAAGGCGUGUGGACAAAGUUAUACAUCCAAUAGUCCACCAUGUACUACAUUGGUGAUAUAAACUUUCUUAUAUUUCUUUACCGAGAGAGAAGUUUGUUGUGCAAUAUGAAAAACAUUGUAAAUAAGUUAUCUGGGACUAAUACUAUGGCCUGCUUUUUGGUUUCUAUCAUACAGACCUUGCUUAGGUGUUUCAUGUCACAUUGUAUAACAAAUGCGCCGAUGGCAUGUAGAGGGUCA